RNAcentral lists this ribosomal RNA (468 nucleotides) under uncultured bacterium. RNAcentral describes it as "partial 16S ribosomal RNA". It matches the Rfam family "Bacterial small subunit ribosomal RNA", at positions 28 to 507 of the family's 1533-position model. The record is from RNAcentral.
GACGAACGCUGGCGGCGUGCUUAACACAUGCAAGUCGAACGGAAAGGCCCUGCUUUUGUGGGGUGCUCGAGUGGCGAACGGGUGAGUAACACGUGAGUAACCUGCCCUUGACUUUGGGAUAACUUCAGGAAACUGGGGCUAAUACCGGAUAGGAGCUCCUGCUGCAUGGUGGGGGUUGGAAAGUUUCGGCGGUUGGGGAUGGACUCGCGGCUUAUCAGCUUGUUGGUGGGGUAGUGGCUUACCAAGGCUUUGACGGGUAGCCGGCCUGAGAGGGUGACCGGCCACAUGGGGACUGAGAGACGGCCCAGACUCCUACGGUAGGCAGCAGUGGGGAAUAUUGCACAAUGGGCGGAAGCCUGAGGCAGCAACGCCGCGUGCGGGAUGACGGCCUUCGGGUUGUAAACCGCUUUCGCCUGUGACGAAGCGUGAGUGACGGUAAUGAGUAAAGAAGCACCGGCUAACUACGUG